CCCUUAGAUGUUCUGGGCUGCACGCGUGCUACACUGAUUAUUUCAACAAGUGUUUUAACUGGAGAGUUCGCGUAAUCCUGAAAUGUUAUCGUGAUGGGAGUAGAGUAUUGUAUUUGUUAAUCUUUAACGAGGAAUUCCUAGUAAGUGUAGGUUUAUAAGUUGUUCUGAUUACGUCCCUGCCCUUUGUACACACCGCCCGUCGCACCUACCGAUUGGAUGGUCCGGUGAAGCCUCGGGAUUGUGGUUCUUGCCGCUUUAUUGUGGCGUGACCGCGAGAACUUGUCUAAACCUUAUCAUCUAGAGGAAGGUGAAGUCGUAACA
RNAcentral lists this ribosomal RNA (321 nucleotides) under uncultured eukaryote. RNAcentral describes it as "partial 18S ribosomal RNA". It matches the Rfam family "Eukaryotic small subunit ribosomal RNA", at positions 1470 to 1796 of the family's 1831-position model. The record is from RNAcentral.